UACGUAGGGUGCAAGCGUUAAUCGGAAUUACUGGGCGUAAAGCGUGCGCAGGCGGUUUUGUAAGUCUGACGUGAAAUCCCCGGGCUCAACCUGGGAAUUGCGAUGGAGACUGCAAGGCUUGAAUCUGGCAGAGGGGGGUAGAAUUCCACGUGUAGCAGUGAAAUGCGUAGAGACGUGGAGGAACACCGAUGGCGAAGGCAGCCCCCUGGGUCAAGAUUGACGCUCAUGCACGAAAGCGUGGGGAGCAAACAGG
Molecule: ribosomal RNA, 253 nt
Filed under: uncultured bacterium
Lineage: Bacteria
Description: partial 16S ribosomal RNA
Rfam family: Bacterial small subunit ribosomal RNA
Source: RNAcentral